AGAGCGAACGCUGGCGGCAGGCUUAACACAUGCAAGUCGAACGGAUCCUUCGGGAUUAGUGGCGGACGGGUGAGUAACACGUGGGAACGUGCCUUUAGGUUCGGAACAACACAGGGAAACUUGUGCUAAUACCGGAUGUGCCCUUCGGGGGAAAGAUUUAUCGCCUUUAGAGCGGCCCGCGUCUGAUUAGCUUAUUGGUGAGGUAAAGGCUCACCAAGGCUACGAUCAGUAGCUGGU
This 237-nucleotide ribosomal RNA is filed under the name uncultured bacterium. RNAcentral's name for it is "partial small subunit ribosomal RNA". It matches the Rfam family "Bacterial small subunit ribosomal RNA", at positions 26 to 291 of the family's 1533-position model. The record is from RNAcentral.